CAGUCGCCGCGGUAAUACGUAGGGUGCGAGCGUUAAUCGGAAUUACUGGGCGUAAAGCGUGCGCGGGCGGUUGUGUAAGACAGGUGUGAAAUCCCCGGGCUUAACCUGGGAACUGCGCUUGUGACUGCACAGCUAGAGUAUGGCAGAGGGGGGUGGAAUUCCACGUGUAGCAGUGAAAUGCGUAGAGAUGUGGAGGAACACCGAUGGCGAAGGCAGCCCCCUGGGCCAAUACUGACGCUCAUGCACGAAAGCGUGGGGAGCAAACAGGAUUAGAUACCCGCGUAGUCCCUGUCUCUUAUAC
This 301-nucleotide ribosomal RNA is filed under the name uncultured bacterium. Its description in RNAcentral is "partial 16S ribosomal RNA". It matches the Rfam family "Bacterial small subunit ribosomal RNA", at positions 509 to 807 of the family's 1533-position model. The record is from RNAcentral.